ACAGGUGGUGCAUGGUUGUCGUCAGUUCGGGUCGUGAGAUGUUGGUUUAAGUCCCGCAACGAGCGCAACCCUUAAGUUUAGUCGCCAUCAUUAAGUUGGGCACUGUAAGUUGACGGCCGGUGACAAACCGGAGGAAGGUGGGGAGGAAGUUAAUUCAUCACGCCCCUUAUGAUUUGGGCUACACACGUGAUACAAUGGACAAUACAAAGGGAAGCGAAACCGGGAGGUCAAGCAAAUCCCAUAAAGUUGUUGUCAGUUCGGAUUGUAGUAAGCAACUCGAAUAUAUGAAGAGGGAAUCGUUAGUAAUGGUAGAUCAGCAUGCUACGGAGAAUUUGUUCCCUGGUGUUGUACACACCGCCCGUCACACCA
RNAcentral lists this ribosomal RNA (369 nucleotides) under Staphylococcus epidermidis. RNAcentral's name for it is "bacterial SSU rRNA". It matches the Rfam family "Bacterial small subunit ribosomal RNA", at positions 1034 to 1404 of the family's 1533-position model. Lineage: Bacteria; Bacillati; Bacillota; Bacilli; Caryophanales; Staphylococcaceae. The record is from RNAcentral.